RNAcentral lists this ribosomal RNA (447 nucleotides) under uncultured bacterium. RNAcentral describes it as "partial 16S ribosomal RNA". It matches the Rfam family "Bacterial small subunit ribosomal RNA", at positions 330 to 794 of the family's 1533-position model. The record is from RNAcentral.
UCCAGACUCCUACGGGAGGCAGCAGUGGGGGAUAUUGCACAAUGGGGGGAACCCUGAUGCAGCGACGCCGCGUGGGUGGAGGAGUAUUUCGGUAUGUAAAGCUCUAUCAGCAGGGAAGAAGAUGACGGUACCUGACCAAGAAGCUCCGGCUAAAUACGUGCCAGCAGCCGCGGUAAUACGUAUGGAGCAAGCGUUAUCCGGAUUUACUGGGUGUAAAGGGAGCGCAGGCGGCCUUGCAAGUCUGAUGUGAAAGGCCGGGGCCCAACCCCGGGACUGCAUUGGAAACUGCGAGGCUGGAGUGUCGGAGAGGCAGGCGGAAUUCCUAGUGUAGCGGUGAAAUGCGUAGAUAUUAGGAGGAACACCAGUGGCGAAGGCGGCCUGCUGGACGAUGACUGACGCUGAGGCUCGAAAGCGUGGGGAGCAAACAGGAUUAGAUACCCUCGUAAA